RNAcentral lists this ribosomal RNA (468 nucleotides) under uncultured bacterium. Its description in RNAcentral is "partial 16S ribosomal RNA". It matches the Rfam family "Bacterial small subunit ribosomal RNA", at positions 28 to 507 of the family's 1533-position model. The record is from RNAcentral.
GACGAACGCUGGCGGCGUGCUUAACACAUGCAAGUCGAACGGAAAGGCCCUGCUUUUGUGGGGUGCUCGAGUGGCGAACGGGUGAGUAACACGUGAGUAACCUGCCCUUGACUUUGGGAUAACUUCAGGAAACUGGGGCUAAUACCGGAUAGGAGCUCCUGCUGCAUGGUGGGGGUUGGAAAGUUUCGGCGGUUGGGGAUGGACUCGCGGCUUAUCAGCUUGUUGGUGGGGUAGGGGCUUACCAAGGCUUUGACGGGUAGCCGGCCUGAGAGGGUGGCCGGCCACAUUGGGACUGAGAUACGGCCCAGACUCCUACGGGAGGCAGCAGUGGGGAAUAUUGCACAAUGGGCGGAAGCCUGAUGCAGCAACGCCGCGUGCGGGAUGACGGCCUUCGGGUUGUAAACCGCUUUCGCCUGUGACGAAGCGUGAGUGACGGUAAUGGGUAAAGAAGCACCGGCUAACUACGUG